CUGUAUUCUCAUACCACCUUGAGAAUGCCAAAUCUCGUCUGAGCUCAGUAGCUAAGCAGGGUUAGGCCUGGUUAGUGCGAGGAUCAGACACCACUGGGAAUACCAAGUGCCCCAGUGGGCAGC
This 123-nucleotide ribosomal RNA is filed under the name Periophthalmus magnuspinnatus. The record is from RNAcentral. Lineage: Eukaryota; Metazoa; Chordata; Actinopteri; Gobiiformes; Gobiidae.